AACUCAAUGGUCUAAUGGCAAAGUGUUCGCCGCUGAGCCAGAAGGUCCUGGGUUCAAUCCCCGAUUGGGUCG
RNAcentral lists this transfer RNA (72 nucleotides) under Schistosoma japonicum. RNAcentral's name for it is "tRNA-OTHER". The record is from RNAcentral. Lineage: Eukaryota; Metazoa; Platyhelminthes; Trematoda; Strigeidida; Schistosomatidae.